UGGGGAAUAUUGCACAAUGGGGGAAACCCUGAUGCAGCGACGCCGCGUGAACGAAGAAGGUAUUCGUAUCGUAAAGUUCUGUCCUAUGGGAAGAUAAUGACAGUACCAUAGAAGAAAGCUCCGGCUAAAUACGUGCCAGCAGCCGCGGUAAUACGUAUGGAGCGAGCGUUGUCCGGAAUUAUUGGGCGUAAAGGGUACGCAGGCGGUUUAAUAAGUCGAAUGUUAAAGAUCGGGGCUCAACCCGGCAAAGCAUUGGAAACUGAUAAACUUGAGUAGUGGAGAGGAAAGUGGAAUUCCUAGUGUAGUGGUGAAAUACGUAGAUAUUAGGAGGAAUACCAGUAGCGAAGGCGACUUUCUGGACACAAACUGACGCUGAGGUACGAAAGCGUGGGGAGCAAACAGG
Molecule: ribosomal RNA, 403 nt
Filed under: bacterium
Lineage: Bacteria
Description: partial 16S ribosomal RNA
Rfam family: Bacterial small subunit ribosomal RNA
Source: RNAcentral